RNAcentral lists this ribosomal RNA (784 nucleotides) under uncultured Bacillota bacterium. RNAcentral's name for it is "bacterial SSU rRNA". It matches the Rfam family "Bacterial small subunit ribosomal RNA", at positions 71 to 836 of the family's 1533-position model. Lineage: Bacteria; Bacillati; Bacillota. The record is from RNAcentral.
AAAACCCCGCAAGGGGUUAGUAGAGUGGCGAACGGGUGAGUAACACGUGGGUGACCUACCUUCGAAUGGGGGAUAACGUCCCGAAAGGGACGCUAAUACCGCAUAACAUCCUGCCUUUGAACAGGUGGAGAUCAAAGCCGGGGAUCGCAAGACCUGGCGUUUGAAGAGGGGCCCGCGUCUGAUUAGCUAGUUGGUGAGGUAACGGCCCACCAAGGCGACGAUCAGUAUCCGGCCUGAGAGGGCGGACGGACACACUGGGACUGAGACACGGCCCAGACUCCUACGGGAGGCAGCAGUGGGGAAUUGUUCGCAAUGGGCGCAAGCCUGACGACGCAACGCCGCGUGGAGGAUGAAGGUCUUCGGAUUGUAAACUCCUGUUGCCCGGGACGAAAAGCUUCGACCUAACACGUCGAAGUCUGACGGUACCGGGUGAGGAAGCCCCGGCUAACUCUGUGCCAGCAGCCGCGGUAAUACAGAGGGGGCAAGCGUUGUUCGGAAUUACUGGGCGUAAAGGGCGCGUAGGCGGCCUGCUAAGUCGAACGUGAAAUCCCCGGGCUCAACCCGGGAACUGCGUCCGAUACUGGCAGGCUUGAAUCCGGGAGAGGGAUGCGGAAUUCCAGGUGUAGCGGUGAAAUGCGUAGAUAUCUGGAGGAACACCGGUGGCGAAGGCGGCAUCCUGGACCGGCAUUGACGCUGAGGCGCGAAAGCCAGGGGAGCAAACGGGAUUAGAUACCCCGGUAGUCCUGGCCCUAAACGAUGAAUGCUUGGUGUGGCGGGUAUCGAU